RNAcentral lists this ribosomal RNA (253 nucleotides) under uncultured bacterium. Its description in RNAcentral is "partial 16S ribosomal RNA". It matches the Rfam family "Bacterial small subunit ribosomal RNA", at positions 524 to 776 of the family's 1533-position model. The record is from RNAcentral.
UACGGAGGGUGCAAGCGUUAUCCGGAUUUACUGGGUUUAAAGGGUGCGCAGGCGGAUAUGUAAGUCAGUGGUGAAAUCUCUGGGCUUAACCCGGAAAUUGCCAUUGAUACUAUAUAUCUUGAAUGUUGUGGAGGUAAGCGGAAUAUGUCAUGUAGCGGUGAAAUGCUUAGAUAUGACAUAGAACACCUAUUGCGAAGGCAGCUUACUACGCAGAUAUUGACGCUCAUGCACGAAAGCGUGGUGAUCAAACAGG